RNAcentral lists this long non-coding RNA (3027 nucleotides) under Octopus sinensis (East Asian common octopus). Its description in RNAcentral is "uncharacterized LOC118768038". Lineage: Eukaryota; Metazoa; Mollusca; Cephalopoda; Octopoda; Octopodidae. The record is from RNAcentral.
UAUAUAUAUAUACACACUAUAUAUACUUAUAUAUAUAUAUACACAUAUACUCUCUCCCUCCCUCCCUCUCUCUCUCUCUUUCAGACAUAUACACACAUAGAAUUACGAAUGCGUAUACGUGUGGACAUAGAUACGUAAGAACAUACAAGCACACCCAUGAAUAUCAUUUACACAAACCUACGAAAACAUUUUACACAGAAAACUGUCUGAAAGUACUUUGUUAUGAUUUGAAAGUCAACAAUAAAAAUAAAUAAAUGAAUAACUGCUUGGAGAAAGAAAGACACAAAUACUUUGUGUUGUUGUUUUAAGGACGACGAAAUAAUAGAAAACGAAAGAAAAAGCAGAAGAGAGAAGCAGAAGCGAAGUGUGGUGAUGGCGGGGAAAGGAAAAAGAAACUAGAAAGAAAGAAUCGAGAAAAAAGUAACAGAAAGACAGACAGAAAGGAUCUCACGACAGAAAGUAAUGAUUAUAAGAAAGGAUAUAAAAAUGAAUAUAAGUAAUAGAAACAGAGAAAAAGAAAACAGAAAUAAACAUAUAAAUGAAUAAAACAGAGCAAUGAUGGGAAGAAGGAAUGAAUUAAAAAGUGAAGGAAUAAAAUAAGAAAAGAAAGAACUUAGAAAAUGCACAUUCGUUAGCUUAGUUGAUACUAUGGAUGCGCAGAAGUGAUUUAAUAUUAUCAAUCUUCUUGCUUUUACUAACGAAUGAUUGGUUAGUGCAGUUGAUAUUACGGAUGCACAGAAGUGAAAACAUUAUUACUUGUCUUUAAUUUAAUUUUUUUUCCUCAAUAUCUUGGAUUUUUAUUUGUUUCUGUGAAAAUAUUUUUUAAAAGUGGGUGCUUAACAGGUGGGUGUUUACUGUUUCAUACCCAACUUGAAUAAGGUUGUUCUUUUGGAUAUGAGUUUUGUAAUUGUUUUGGUUUUGGAAAAAUUGCAAUUCUUGUUAUUGAAAAAAGAAAAAAGAAAAAAAAUCACCAAAUCAAAAUUUAAUGUCAACUAAAUUGGAUGACUUGAAAAUAAUUACCCACCAAAAUAUAGAAAGAAAAAGUGUAAGGGACCGUUACAAUGCAGAAAACCCAAAGACACCAGCCUAAUCUAGUGCUGUACCUCUUCCACCAGGAUCAAGAUUGCUGAUAAAAAGUAAUCCCCCAAAACAAAUUUUUAAUGGAUUUUCAAACAACCACAUCUUGUUUAUUUAAUUAAGAAUAAUUUUCUUACAAAAAUUAAACGGUCAUUAUUGUUACAUUUUGUAAUAACAAUUAUUAAAAAAAGUCUAUAAAGAAUUAUUAAAUACAGUUAAGAGAAAAUUUUUUAAGAACCUGAACCCCAGAGAUAUACAUACCAACAUACUCCCUUACUAAACAAACUAGAGCAACAAAAAAGCAACCCAAAGAAAAACAAUCGAUACUAAUCGUAAAAUAACACCAAAACUAACAAUGGUUACAAUAACAACCGGAAUAAUAUUUAAAAAAGAAAAGAGGAAGAAAAUAUAACUACACACACACAUUAUAUAUAUAUGUUUGGUGAUACAUAAAUAGGUUUACGUUAUAUACACACACACAUUAAGGUUUAGUCACACACACACAUAGACUUGGUGGUACAUAUAAGUAUAAAUAGGUUUAGUGAUAUACAAACACACACAAGAAUGUGAAACACCUAUAUAAGUAUAUAUAUAAACUAUUAGCAAACGUUUCACUGCCGCCCCCCUUUUCCUCUCCUUCUUUUUGAAUAUCUUUAUUUUCUUUCUUUCUUUCUUUCUUUCUUUUUCCCCUUUAAAUACCAUUUUUGAAGUGAUAGGUGAGCUUCUUCCUAAUGAGCAGAGAAAAAACUCUGAUGGAACCCGGUUCUCGUUCGAAAACUGUAGUGGCUGUUUAAUUAAUGCUCUUGAGAAAAGCAUACAGUUCACGACAUCCCAUCUUUAUUUAUUUGAGAAAACAUAAAUAAAAAAAAAACAAAAACAAAUUUGGCUGUGUAUAUCUAGUGAAACGAAAUAAGUGGCAUCUGGAAGGAAAAUAAGUUAAAACAUUUACAGUAAGCGGGGAGGUGACCGUAAGUUGUGUAAGAAAUUAGGUGAAUUUAGUAAAUUAGUGUCUCAAGCAAGCCACGUGUCGGUGGCGUGGACUUUUCCCUAAGUUGUUAACUACACUUUUUAUUGUGAUUUUUUAUACUGCAUUACCUCUUCUGGUGAUAUUCCCUUAGUUAAAAAAAAAACGUAUACAAGUUACGUAAUCUCAAAUUCUUCUCUUCCCUUACUCUCCCUUAAAAAUAUAUAGCGCCCGUAUCUAGUUAGCCGAAAUCUGAUCUGAACUACUGCGUAGAGGUGUGGGGGGAGAUGCCCCUCUCUAUGUCUCUCCUCCCGUCUCUCUCUCUCUCUCUUACUCUCUCUCGUUUCACCGUUCAGUAAGAGAGGCGUAUAUGUAAUUGAGCUAUCGGUAAACCGAGUCGCUGAUGUGAUGCGAUGCGACUCGUAAACAUGAUUUCUUCAUUUCGGUUUCCCCUCACGUUACGCCGCCCUGCUAAUUGAGCAAUCACCUCUUGCUGGGAAAGCAUGAACGUGCCAGCAUCCAAAUCAUUUUUUUCCUUUCUGCUUAUCAAACAAGGAUGAGGCUUUUUAAGCUUUGUUAACAUUUAAAAAAACAAACAAAAACAGUCAUAACGGACAUUAAGGAAACGCGUAUGAAUUUCUUUUCCAUUAAUUAUCAAACAGUUUAAAAAAAAAAAAGAAGCUUUAUAGACACAUACAUACGCACAAAUAAUUACAGCUCGACAGGCACAUAUUAAACCAUUCAAAAAAAAAAAAUCAUGACUUCGUUUAAACAUUAUUUAGUGUUAAAAUUUUCGUCACACCUACUACAACCUGGUCACUGACGCGAUUCCACUACAUUGCGGUUUUCAGAUCAUAUCACUUUGCCUGACAAAUACACUUCCGACACACACAUACACAGAACAGAAAUUAGGCAACUUAAUAGAAUCGGUGAUAGUAAACAAAAAAAAAAAAAAAAAAGCACACAUACAUCACCACCAACAACAA